Molecule: ribosomal RNA, 268 nt
Filed under: uncultured soil bacterium
Lineage: Bacteria
Description: partial 16S ribosomal RNA
Rfam family: Bacterial small subunit ribosomal RNA
Source: RNAcentral
AGAAUCAACGCUGGCGGCGUGCCUAACACAUGCAAGUCGAACGCGAAAGUCCCGCAAGGGAUGAGUAGAGUGGCAAACGGGUGAGUAACGCGUGGGUGACCUACCUUCGAGUGGGGGAUAACGUUCCGAAAGGGACGCUAAUACCGCAUGACAUCCUGCUUUUUAAGAGGCGGAGAUCAAAGCCGGGGAUCGCAAGACCUGGCGCUUGGAGAGGGGCCCGCGUCCGAUUAGCUAGGUUGGUGGGUAACGGCCUACCAAGGCAACGAUC